This is a long non-coding RNA of Numida meleagris (helmeted guineafowl), 1690 nucleotides long. Lineage: Eukaryota; Metazoa; Chordata; Aves; Galliformes; Numididae. The record is from Ensembl.
GGGUGUCCUGUGUCAUUUUUGGGGUGUCCCGUGUCAUUUUGGGGUGUCCCCGUGUCAUUUUGGGGUGUCCCGUGUCAUUUUAAGGUGUCCCCCUGUUUUGGGGUCCCCCCAUGCUGUUUUUGGGUUCCCCUCGUGUUUUGGGGUGCCCCGUUUUUGGGGUGCCCCACUCACUCACGCUGUUCCAGGUGCUGUCUCAUCUCCUCGCUCCUCUCCUGUGUCCGUGCCAGCUCCUGCGCCCCAGCCUGGCAGCCUGAGCACAGCACCGCCACCACAGCGCCACCGGGGACAGGGGGACAUGGGGACAUGGGGGGGACAGGGGGACACGGGGGGGACAUGGGGACAUCAUGGGGACAUGGAGAUGUGGGGACACUGUGAGGACAUGGGGACAUCAUGGGGACAUGGGGACACGAGGACAUGGGGAGAUGGGGGGGACAUGGGGACAUAGGGACAUGAUGGGGACACAGGGACAUGGGGACGUGAUGGGGACACGGGGACACCAUGGGGACAUGGAGGUGUGGGGGCACUGUGGGGACAUGGGGACGUGGUGGGGACAUGGGGACAUCAUGGGGACAUGGGGGUAUAUGGUGAGAUGGGGACAUGGGGGGGGCAUGGGGACAUGGGGGGGAUGGGGACAUGGUGUGGACAUGGGGACAUCAUGAGGACAUGGGGACAUGGGGGGAGAUGGGGACAUCAUGGGGACACGGAGGUGUGGGGAUGCUGUGGGGACAUGGGGUGAUGACAUGGGGGCAUCAUGGGGAGAUGGCGGGGACACGGGGACAUGGUGGGGACGUCACAGGGACACGGGGCCACGUCGCUCACCCCGGUGCAGAGCAUGGAUCUGUCCCAGCAGCGCCUCCACCUGUGGAGCCCCUGUGUGUGGGGGGGGAGGGGACACGUGGGGACGUGCAGGGACACGGGACAGCCUGGGGACGCGGAGGGGACGCGCAUGUACCCGGUGGCUGUGGGGUGGGCAACUCCGUGUCACCGCCACGGGAGGGUCCUGUGGGGAGGGGACACGUGGGGACAUGGAGACAUGGGGACACAGGGACGUGGCGCAGGGCCGUGCCCUCACUCUGCUCUCCGCUCUCCAUGGCGCUGUGCGGUGAUGGAGGCUCCUUCCGGUCAGCGGGGACCAACUUCCGGUUCAGACCCCACUUCCGUGCAGCUUCAAAAUGGCGGCGCUUCAAAAUGGCGCCAUUUCAAGAUGGUGGCGCCUCAAAAUGGUGGCCAAGAUGGCGGCCCCUCAGCAUGGCGGCACUUCAAAAUGGCAGCCCAGGAUGGAGGCACCUCAAAAUGGCGGCUCCACAAAACGACGGCAAUACAAAAUGGCGGCCCCACCAAAUGGCAACGAAAGACGGAGGCAGCAGAAAACGGCUGCACCGCAAAAUGGGGGCACAAAACGGUGGCACCAGAAAAGAGAGAACCAAGGUAGGGGCACCACAAAAUGGCGGCCCCGGAAACUGGCAGCCCAAGAUGGCGGCAUCGCAAAAUGGCAGCCCAACAUGGCGGCAUUAUAAAAUGGCGGCCAUGCAAAACGGCGGCCCCACAAAAUGGCGGCCGUGCAAAAUGGCGGCCGUGCAAAAUGGCGGCCCAAGAUGACGGCAUCGCAAAAUGGCGGCCCAAGAUAGGGACACCGCAAAACGGCAGCCCAAUAUGGUGGCAUCGCAAAAUGGCGGCCAUGCAAAAUGGC